This 426-nucleotide ribosomal RNA is filed under the name uncultured bacterium. RNAcentral's name for it is "partial 16S ribosomal RNA". It matches the Rfam family "Bacterial small subunit ribosomal RNA", at positions 338 to 795 of the family's 1533-position model. The record is from RNAcentral.
CCUGGGAGGCAGCAGUGGGGAAUAUUGCACAAUGGGCGCAAGCCUGAUGCAGCCAUGCCGCGUGUAUGAAGAAGGCCUUCGGGUUGUAAAGUACUUUCAGCGAGGAGGCGUUACUCGCAGAAGAAGCACCGGCUAACUCCGUGCCAGCAGCCCGGUAAUACGGAGGGUGCAAGCGUUAAUCGGAAUUACGGGCGUAAAGCGCACGCAGGCGGUCUGUAAGUCGGAUGUGAAAUCCCCGGGCUCAACCUGGGAACUGCAUUCGAAACUGCAGGCUAGAGUCUUGUAGAGGGGGGUAGAAUUCCAGGUGUAGCGGUGAAAUGCGUAGAGAUCUGGAGGAAUACCGGUGGCGAAGGCGGCCCCCUGGACAAAACUGACGCUCAGGUGCGAAAGCGUGGGGAGCAAACAGGAUUAGAUACCCCUGUAGUC